Molecule: ribosomal RNA, 821 nt
Filed under: Arthrobacter sp. QDHT4
Lineage: Bacteria; Bacillati; Actinomycetota; Actinomycetes; Micrococcales; Micrococcaceae
Description: bacterial SSU rRNA
Rfam family: Bacterial small subunit ribosomal RNA
Source: RNAcentral
UGGGCGAAGCCUGAUGCAGCGACGCCGCGUGAGGGAUGACGGCCUUCGGGUUGUAAACCUCUUUCAGUAGGGAAGAAGCGAAAGUGACGGUACCUGCAGAAGAAGCGCCGGCUAACUACGUGCCAGCAGCCGCGGUAAUACGUAGGGCGCAAGCGUUAUCCGGAUUUAUUGGGCGUAAAGAGCUCGUAGGCGGUUUGUCGCGUCUGCCGUGAAAGUCCGAGGCUCAACCUCGGAUCUGCGGUGGGUACGGGCAGACUAGAGUGAUGUAGGGGAGACUGGAAUUCCUGGUGUAGCGGUGAAAUGCGCAGAUAUCAGGAGGAACACCGAUGGCGAAGGCAGGUCUCUGGGCAUUUACUGACGCUGAGGAGCGAAAGCAUGGGGAGCGAACAGGAUUAGAUACCCUGGUAGUCCAUGCCGUAAACGUUGGGCACUAGGUGUGGGGGACAUUCCACGUUUUCCGCGCCGUAGCUAACGCAUUAAGUGCCCCGCCUGGGGAGUACGGCCGCAAGGCUAAAACUCCAAGGAAUUGACGGGGGCCCGCACAAGCGGCGGACCAUGCGGAUUAAUUCGAUGCAACGCGAAGAACCUUACCAAGGCUUGACAUGUGCCAGACCGCCUCAGAGAUGGGGUUUCCCUUCGGCGCUGGUUCACAGGUGGUGCAUGGUUGUCGUCAGCUCGUGUCGUGAGAUGUUGGGCUAACUCCCGCAACGAGCGCAACCCUCGUUUCAUGUUGGCAGCACGUAGUGGUGGGACUCAUGGGAGACUGCCGGGGUUCAACUCGGAGGAAGGUGCGGAUGACCUUAAAUUAUCCUUGCCCCUUA